GGAAAGGUGGGUGAGCGGUUGAAACCGCACGACUGGAAAUCGUGUAGGGUGUAAAAGCCCUCGGGGGUUCGAAUCCCCCCCUUUCCG
This 87-nucleotide transfer RNA is filed under the name Elusimicrobiota bacterium. RNAcentral's name for it is "Elusimicrobia bacterium (groundwater metagenome) tRNA-Ser". It matches the Rfam family "tRNA". Rfam says of the family: Transfer RNA (tRNA) molecules are approximately 80 nucleotides in length. Their secondary structure includes four short double-helical elements and three loops (D, anti-codon, and T loops). Further hydrogen bonds mediate the characteristic L-shaped molecular structure. tRNAs have two regions of fundamental functional importance: the anti-codon, which is responsible for specific mRNA codon recognition, and the 3' end, to which the tRNAs corresponding amino acid is attached (by aminoacyl-tRNA synthetases). tRNAs cope with the degeneracy of the genetic code in two manners: having more than one tRNA (with a specific anti-codon) for a particular amino acid; and 'wobble' base-pairing, i.e. permitting non-standard base-pairing at the 3rd anti-codon position. Lineage: Bacteria; Pseudomonadati; Elusimicrobiota. The record is from RNAcentral.